ACGGAUUCGAAAUCCGUUGAGUCAGCAAUGGCUCCUAGGGUUCAAAUCCCUAUCUCUCCGCCA
Molecule: transfer RNA, 63 nt
Filed under: Pseudomonas aeruginosa
Lineage: Bacteria; Pseudomonadati; Pseudomonadota; Gammaproteobacteria; Pseudomonadales; Pseudomonadaceae
Description: tRNA-Ser
Rfam family: tRNA
About the family: Transfer RNA (tRNA) molecules are approximately 80 nucleotides in length. Their secondary structure includes four short double-helical elements and three loops (D, anti-codon, and T loops).
Source: RNAcentral